Non-coding RNA from Aegilops tauschii subsp. strangulata, 636 nucleotides. The record is from RefSeq and is a predicted model, not a curated record. Lineage: Eukaryota; Viridiplantae; Streptophyta; Magnoliopsida; Poales; Poaceae.
CCAAGGGGAUACUUUUCCCUUAUAUUGAAUAGUACAUUUCCCUUAUAUUGUGAGCAGAUUAGUUGUUUUCUACCCUUCCCUUAAAACGCAUUAUAAGUUGCCUCGAUUAGUUUUGGCUUAGUUCAUGUAAAUGAACUGGAAGUAACUUCUGAAUUUGUUUGACUUUGGACUUGCUAGAGCCCCGAAGUUUCUGCUUCUAGCAUUUCUCUUCUUUAAGCAACAUGGCAAGCCCGGUUUCAAAGCAAAGACCUGAGGAAGAAUGUAGAUUGAUCACUGUGAUUUCAAGUCCUUCAGAGCUAGAGCUGCUAAGACUUGAGACAGAUAUAUACAGGGGCCUACAAGAUCCAAUUCAUAAGAAGGCCGAGGCACAUCAAUCAAACGCCAACUCACCUGCUAUUGGCACUAAGGGAGGAAGAAAAAAUAACAUUGUCCCUGAAGGCUCGAGACACGCAAAUAGGAAACUGAGUUUGGGAAAGGUGGUUGUCUCCUUGACGCACACCAUGGUGCCCUUGUCUACUCUCCGUCUUCUUCCUUGGACAAGUAUUUUAUUUCAGGAUUUCGCAAGUGGUCCGUAUUGACAAAUAAAAUGCAUAGAAAAAGAUACUUAUGUUGUUCUAUUCUUGCAGACACCUUAUG